Molecule: ribosomal RNA, 76 nt
Filed under: Chaetospermum chaetosporum
Lineage: Eukaryota; Fungi; Basidiomycota; Agaricomycetes; Sebacinales; Sebacinaceae
Description: partial 28S ribosomal RNA
Rfam family: Eukaryotic large subunit ribosomal RNA
Source: RNAcentral
CUUGACCUCAAAUCGGGUAGGACUACCCGCUGAACUUAAGCAUAUCAAUAAGCGGAGGAAAAGAAACUAACAAGGA